UUGUGGAUUCUUCAAAUGAGU
This 21-nucleotide microRNA is filed under the name Asparagus officinalis (garden asparagus). RNAcentral describes it as "aof-miR12154". The record is from miRBase by way of RNAcentral. Lineage: Eukaryota; Viridiplantae; Streptophyta; Magnoliopsida; Asparagales; Asparagaceae.